RNA transcript from Solea senegalensis (Senegalese sole), 1962 nucleotides. It is a transcript of the gene named mitochondrial transcription termination factor 2, with no coding region annotated. The record is from RefSeq and is a predicted model, not a curated record. NCBI's taxonomy places the organism in Eukaryota, Metazoa, Chordata, Actinopteri, Pleuronectiformes, Soleidae. The transcript is spliced from 2 exons.
CUGUUGUCCACUGGUUGCUGGCUGCUUUUCUUGUAACAGAUAACACUGCAGGGAAAACCCUCCACUGAAGGAAGUGGAUCAGGGAGGGACUUUUGGAAACGUGUGGGAAAAUGUACCUGUUUGUUGCAAUAGAAAACAGCUGGCCGAGUAAAGUAAAGGUUGGUGAGAUCAUUCUGGAGCAGACAGUGGACAGGGUGGCGAGAGACACAUCAGAGGGGGAUGACACGCAGCUUAGCCAGCAGAGCUACUGUACCAGUGUGCCUCACCACCUUGACAUGGAUGAACUGCAGACAUUUUGUUUCCUUCAUGGAGGAUCCUCACAGUCAUCGACACGGAAGAGAAAUACAAUUCAUCAGGGCUUUUAUCUUGCAUUUUUAUCUGCAUCCAGAUAACUGCAUAUGUUUUUUUUUCUAUGCGUUUCUCAUUCAUUAUUGAUCCAGAAUCUAGGUCAUAGGUAUCCUAGCUAAUCAGGAAAUAUUAGAUACACAUGUGUUGCUCUGCCAUGGUUGGCUGCAAUCUGCCUGGCUAGAAGGCUUCAGUUUCUCUGCUCAGUUGAUUCUGUGUCUCAGCAUAGUCCAAACCUUCUGUUCACUUUCUGUGUUUUCUGUUUUAAAUGGAAAUCUGAUUUGCAUGUAUGGAAGUAUGUGUUUCUUCUUUAGGCCAUUCAUUUUGUUUCUCUCUUGCAUCGUAUGCAUCACUUCUGGUUUUUGGUCCAUGCAGUUCAUUAUUUUGUCUUUUGUAAUUUGGAAAGAAUUUGGUUGAAUCAGUUGGAAAUCCAGAACAUUUUACAACAUUUACAAUCACUGGAUUAUGUGAAUUAUAGUUUGUCUUUUCCCCAGAAUGAAGAGUAAAGACAAACUAUAAUUCACAUAAUCCGGUGAUUGUACACUCGAUAGAUUAAAUAAUUAUACUCUUUUUUAGAUAUAUUAUAUAAUAUAUCAAUUUCUGCCAAAGGAAAAUGAUUUAAUAUGGAAUUUAUAGGCAAAAAUUGAAUAUACUUCACAUCAGGUUUGAUACCCGUUGUAUGUGUGUGCAUUGUAUGACAGUCAACAUGUACUUGCUCUAAAUGCUCUACAUACUUCUCUGCACUCAUCAAAAUUCCUCCGUAGAAUACAAUUGCACCAUUGUCAGUUAUGUUACACAAUAAAACUUUUGUUAAAGAAUUUGAUUCAAGGCACUGAGAAGCAAGCACGUGUUUACGCUGCAACAGAAUCAGGAAGUGUUGGGCUUGUGACAUACACAACAAAUCUUUUUGCUCAUGUCUCGUGGUAAAAAGAUAGGCGGUAUGUUUCCAAAAACAUCGGUGCAUCUCACACGGGCAGAGUGGCUGCUCAUCGGUUGACAUGUGUGCACAAAUGAACAGCGAGAUGCAAACAGAUUGAACACACAUCCAGUGAACCCAGUGUAAGUUUUUGUAUUCCUAGAAUAAGAUUUGUAUUUGUACUUUAGACAAGGGCCUCACUUUAUGAACGCAGCCAUCUUGUUCCGCCAUGUUUCUACAGCAGCCUGAAUGGACAAACCAGCCAUGAGAUAUGUUUCUCAUUUUGACGCAGAACCUUAUGACACAAACACAAUAUUUCUUAGUACCUCCCAUCGUGUCACAAAAUGUCCCGCGACACGAUAGAUGCGAUUGCCGUGGAGUGACAUGACAAAUCGCGUAAGAUGUCAGUAAAUCACACACGCUGGACCUUUAAGAUUUUGCUUCUGGGGAAACAUAACAGUCAUAAAUAAAAAUUAAUUAACAAGUAAGGGUGUGCAGUGAUUAUUCCAGUUAGCUAAUAACCGUAUCAACCUUAUCAGGUUGACUGAAAGUAAAAGAAUGACUGACACUGUUUGUUGUAUUCGCUGAUUCUUGUCAAUAAUAAAGUUGUCCCCAUGAAACAUUUGCACCUGUCCUGACGUGCACCGUCUGUUUAUAACACCACUAUCUGUGGACUCUGAUAAUCAGCUCACCCCUGACAA